RNAcentral lists this transfer RNA (66 nucleotides) under Scolytinae sp. BMNH 1043031. RNAcentral describes it as "tRNA-His". Lineage: Eukaryota; Metazoa; Arthropoda; Insecta; Coleoptera; Curculionidae. The record is from RNAcentral.
GUUAAGAUAGUUUAAAUUAAAAUAUUAAUUUGUGGGAUUAGAGAUGAAUAUUAAGUUCUUUUAACA